AAAAAAAAAAAAAUAACAAGGUCUCCGUAGGUGAACCUGCGGAAGGAUCAUUAC
RNAcentral lists this ribosomal RNA (54 nucleotides) under Bipolaris maydis (southern corn leaf blight pathogen). Its description in RNAcentral is "partial 18S ribosomal RNA". Lineage: Eukaryota; Fungi; Ascomycota; Dothideomycetes; Pleosporales; Pleosporaceae. The record is from RNAcentral.